UCAGCUGGCGCCGGCGCCAACUCAAUAUAUAGGCCUGGUCCGGCCCGCCCCGCACGCAUGCGCCGCAGACUGACACCUCGGCGGGCGCCUUCCCCUCCCCCGCCCGCCCGCCCGCCCGCCCGCGCCCGCCCAGCUCGUCCGCGCGCGCCGCGCCCUGCCCUGCCCUCAGUGCGCGCGGGAGGACGGACGGGCGGGCGCCGAGUGGCCGCAGGGCUGCCCUCCCGGACCGCGCUCCUCCGCCCCGCUCGACACUCCACCUGCGCGCGCCGCGGCUGCAGUCGGCUGACGGGGCGCCCCCCACCGGCUCCCGCCCGCCCUCCGGCUCGCUGUCCGAUCUCGGGGCGCCGGGCCGCUGCGGCUCGGCCCCGCAGGGCAGGGACGGGGGGGCCCACCCAGGCCCCGGGGAAGCCGGGUCUUCCCUGCGACCCGCGGAGAAGGGAGCCGAGGGCCCGCCCCUCCGGGAGGAGCCAGACGGCGGCGGCCGAGCCGGCCAAUGGCGAGAGAGGACGGCGGCACAACGUGGAGCGGCCGCGGAAUGUAAACACGCCGGAGCGCGCGGCCCGCCACGUGCGGGGCCGGAGGCAGCCGCCGGGCGACGAGCCGCUCGGCCGCCCCGGGCCGGCCGCGCACAAGGAGGCGCCUCAGUCCCGGGAGCAGAUGGUGAGAGUUGUGUGUCCUUUGGCGUCACAUCAAGUUAAGCUCCGGGCACGGCACCCCGGGUUCGCUGUGAUGGUCUGAAGCUUCAGGAGCCUUCUGGUAGACAAACACAGCAGAGGGAGAGGAUGGCUGUCUGAAAGCUGAGGACAGACCCUUGAGAAGAAACCACCCCCACGGACACCGCGGACCUGGACUUCCAGGCUCUGUCACAAUUCCCAGAACUGCAGAACUUUUCUGGACAGAGCUGCUCAGGUAAUUGUCCUUGUUGGAGAGGCCACACCCUGGAACAGAAGCUGUCUUCAGUGGAACCACCUUGGGUAAUAAAGAUGUCCUCACACCUCCCUGACACAGCGGUGGGCGGGGCCGCACCUUGAGCAGGGCUGCUUAAGCACACACACCCCUUACCCACUACUACACCUGUACUGUCCGUCAGUAUUUGAAGUCAGACUUCAGGUCUUGUCGUCUCUUUCAUUUGUGGUCACAAUGAAAGAGUUUCCUCUGCCUCUCACCUUGCAAUGUCUGUUCCAUUGAAAUAUUGAAAUGAAUGACUAAGCUUAGCUCCCAGAACCCUGGCUUUAGCCCUAAUAACUCGGGUUACCUUGAGGUGUGAGACACUGGGCUGCUGACUGAACUUAUUCUAUGGGCUUAAAGUCUUGUGUAGGUAUGAGGCUGGCUUAGGGGACAAGUAGCGUUGAAUGAUGCUCUGGUUCUCUUUCUUCCUGUCUCUAUCUCUCUGGUUUGCCGAGAUUGUAUCUUACUAUGUAGCCCACUCUGGCCUGAAGUGAGAAGCAUCCCCCUACCUCAGCCUCCAGGAGUUGGGAUUAUAGGUAGCUACCACCAUGUGUAGUGUUUAUUUUGUUUGAAAUAGUCUUGCUGUGUAGUCCCUGCUGGGCUUGAUCUCAUGAUCCUGUGUCUUCUACCUGUCCUCAUUUAAUGUCCACGACCAAACGUUUUUUAGUUUUGUUAGUUGGUUUAAGAUGUAUUUAUUUGUAGGCAUCUUGUCUGCAUGAAUUACUGUGCAAGAGAUACGUGCGAUGCUUUCGGAGGACAAAAGAGCGCAUUGGGCCCUCUGGAGCUAGGGUUACAGAUGGGGUAGAUAUCACGUGGGUGCUGGAAACCAACCCUGGGUCUCUGCAAGGGCAACAAGUGCUUCCAACCUGCUGCACCAGCUCUCCUGCCUCUCACGACCUAAACACAGAAUAUUACAGAGCAGGCUCUUCCUGAGUCAGAGUUGGGGCCUGGAGGAUGUUCUGUGAACACUCUCUCACUUAACCACACCCCCAGGCAGGAAGGCUGGUCCCACUGCCUACUGUGAGUCAUAGGAAGGUUAAUUCCCGGAUCCAGCAACCCUCAGGCGCUGCCCCUUGGAGCUGCCUUUGAUCAUCCCUUGUGUUUUGCAACUCUUUUCCAACAAACAAAAAAAAAGUCUGACCACAGUUAAGAAAUAGAGCCCAGAAAAGAUUCCCUUGGAGACACAUGCGCAAUCUAGGUGAG
Alexandromys fortis (reed vole) is the source of this 2151-nucleotide RNA transcript. It is a transcript of the gene named translation initiation factor IF-2-like, with no coding region annotated. The record is from RefSeq and is a predicted model, not a curated record. The transcript has 3 exons. Lineage: Eukaryota; Metazoa; Chordata; Mammalia; Rodentia; Cricetidae.